CUAACUGAAGAAACUACAGCUAGGACAUUAGCAUGUGUCAUCAUUACACCCUUAGGCAGUCCAGUACUUCCACUUGUGUACAUUAUUACAGCAAUAUCAGCUGAUUGAGGUAAGUCAGCUUUAGCAGGAUUUUCUUGACCAAGUUUCUCCACAUUAGAAAGUGAAGUGAUUGUCCAUUGCCCACUCUGCUCCACUGAUGCACUCGAUGGAAUUUCAUCAUCCAUACAAAUCAAUCGUUUCACUGUGUCAAGUUGUCCACUUAUGUCCACAAGUUUCUUCAAUUCUUUGUUCCCACAUAUGACAGUUGUAACCUCUGUCUCGUUUAAUGAGUGGCACAAAGCGUCCUCUCCUAAAGAUGCAUAAAUGGUAACCACAGUGACAUUGCGCCUAAAGCAACCCUGCAGCGCAAUAAACCAUUCUGCUCUGGUAUCAGCAAAUAUGGCAACACGUUCUUCCCUUCUAUGCCCAAUAUGAGCCAACCCAGAAGCAAAGUUACAAACUUUUUCAAACACCUUGGCAUAAGUAAGCCACUCGUACUCGCCCAAAUGAAGCUUCUCAAAAGUCCUCCCAUCAGGGGCCACUUCGUUCUCUCUUGCAAUCAAUCUCCGCGUUCCUAGCAAGUAUUUAUCCCCGUGCCUCUUGCAGGCGUACUCAAAAAGCUCAGCAAGGGUAAAGACGCCCUCCCAGGCAGUUUCUAAGGGCGUCGGAAACCGAGAGUUCCGUAUAGCAAUCCCAGGUUCACCACCAACAUCGACCGGCAAGCCACGUUUCUUCUCACUUUUCUUAGAAUUCCUAAAGAAAAGAGUGACGGCAAGAGGGACGAGAACGCCAACUAAAUAAGCACUCAUGUUUCAACGAUUAGAUGAUCGUGAAAAAAUCAAGCAAUUGGAAAUCCCUUUUUUUUCCCUAGCCAAGAAUCCUGAAGAUGAGAAGAAAAUUGAGAAUUAGAGAAAACGCAUUGAGUAGGAUCGAAACGCAAAGAGAGAUUCUCUCGAGGAUCGAAACGGAAGCGUUUUAAACAGUGAAGUUGG
RNAcentral lists this unclassified non-coding RNA (1031 nucleotides) under Hevea brasiliensis (rubber tree). Lineage: Eukaryota; Viridiplantae; Streptophyta; Magnoliopsida; Malpighiales; Euphorbiaceae. The record is from RNAcentral.